This 253-nucleotide ribosomal RNA is filed under the name uncultured bacterium. RNAcentral's name for it is "partial 16S ribosomal RNA". It matches the Rfam family "Bacterial small subunit ribosomal RNA", at positions 524 to 776 of the family's 1533-position model. The record is from RNAcentral.
UACGUAGGGUGCAAGCGUUAUCCGGAAUUAUUGGGCGUAAAGAGCUCGUAGGCGGUUUGUCGCGUCUGCUGUGAAAACUGGAGGCUCAACCUCCAGCCUGCAGUGGGUACGGGCAAACUAGAGUGUGGUAGGGGAGACUGGAAUUCCUGGUGUAGCGGUGGAAUGCGCAGAUAUCAGGAGGAACACCGGUGGCGAAGGCGGGUCUCUGGGCAAUAACUGACGCUGAGGAGCGAAAGCGUGGGGAGCGAACAGG